AUAAGGGAAAGCAGAACUAAGAAACAUCUAUAUUCAUUACCCCUUCUAUAACCAUCAUGCCACAUAUUCCAAAAUGGCUCCACAGAAAAUAUACUGAAGGAGACAGCCAAACGUUCAUUGGGGAUCUUCUCAACUGAGGGAUCGAACCUGCAUCUCCUGCUUUGGCAGGCAGAUUCUUUAUCGUUGAGCCACAGGAAAUUCUAUGACAGAGAAGAGCUAACUUUGAGAAACUAGUAUCCUAUGUUCCAGAUCGUCACAAUCUUACUAACCAGAAGAGAAAACUUUCAGCUUUGUGCCAUUGAGGGCUACCCUGGAGGCUCAGAUGGUGAAGAGUCUGCUUGCAAUGCAGGAGACCCAGGUUCAAUCGUUGGGUCAGGAAGAUCCCCUGGAGAAGGGAAUGGCUACCCAGUCCUGUAUUCUUGCCUGAAGAAUUCCAUGGACAGAGGAGCCUGGCAGGCAACAGUCCAUGGGAUCUCAAAGAGUUGGGCCUGACUGAUCUACUAACACACACGCAUCAUUAAAUUUGUUAGCCAUAGGUUUCUUGUUGAUGGCCUUAUUUUAUGU
This is a long non-coding RNA of Bubalus bubalis (water buffalo), 564 nucleotides long. RefSeq lists it as uncharacterized. NCBI's taxonomy places the organism in Eukaryota, Metazoa, Chordata, Mammalia, Artiodactyla, Bovidae. The record is from RefSeq and is a predicted model, not a curated record. The transcript is spliced from 3 exons.